Molecule: ribosomal RNA, 497 nt
Filed under: uncultured bacterium
Lineage: Bacteria
Description: partial 16S ribosomal RNA
Rfam family: Bacterial small subunit ribosomal RNA
Source: RNAcentral
GAUGAACGCUGGCGGCGUGCCUAAUACAUGCAAGUCGAGCGAACGGACGAGAAGCUUGCUUCUCUGAUGUUAGCGGCGGACGGGUGAGUAACACGUGGAUAACCUACCUAUAAGACUGGGAUAACUUCGGGAAACCGUAGCUAAUACCGGAUAAUAUUUUGAACCGCAUGGUUCAAAAGUGAAAGACGGUCUUGCUGUCACUUAGAGAUGGAUCCGCGCUGCAUUAGCUAGUUGGUAAGGUAACGGCUUACCAAGGCAACGAUGCAUAGCCGACCUGAGAGGGUGAUCGGCCACACUGGAACUGAGACACGGUCCAGACUCCUACGGGAGGCAGCAGUAGGGAAUCUUCCGCAAUGGGCGAAAGCCUGACGGAGCAACGCCGCGUGAGUGAUGAAGGUCUUCGGAUCGUAAAACUCUGUUAUUAGGGAAGAACAUAUGUGUACGUAACUGUGCACAUCUUGACGGUACCUAAUCAGAAAGCCACGGCUAACUACGUG